Molecule: long non-coding RNA, 1052 nt
Organism: Brassica oleracea var. oleracea
Lineage: Eukaryota; Viridiplantae; Streptophyta; Magnoliopsida; Brassicales; Brassicaceae
Exons: 6
Source: RefSeq, a predicted model, not a curated record
GAAAAUUAGCUAUUUUCAGAAGAGACGUUUCUUAAUCAAGUCUCAGAAGAGACGUCGCUUAUCCUUCAAUCUCCUCUCCUCUCUCGCCAAUCCUUCGAUCUCCUCUCCUUUCUCUCCAAUCCACAGUCUCAUCGGCAUCUUCAAACAACCGGCGAUGCGUCUCAGUUCCCGUUGAUACGAGUCCAUAGCCUUAGGUUUCUUCAAUUCCCGUUCUCCGAGUGUUGUCGUAAUCGGAGAUCAGAUCGACUUCCUGGUUGAAGGACGGCACUGUCUUAUGCUGAGAAGAGUAUCAGGGUAGAUGAGAGGCACAUACCCGGCUACAUAGUGAAGGAAAACUUCCUUUGACUAGCAAAACGACCAGAAGCUGCAGCGAUUGCCUUCAGGGCUGCCCAGAAUUUGAGGUCUGAUCUUCGUUCAUAUCAAGGCUUAGUACAUUCUUAUUUGGCAUUUGGCAAAACCAAAGAAGCGUUGUAUACCUUGGAGCAGCCAUAGCUCUAGCUGACCUACAUCUAAUGGAAGGGAGGAAUGGAGAUGCUGUAUCACUACUUGAACGAUAUCUAAAAGACUGGGCUGAUGAAUCUCUCCAUGCCAAGCUAGCUCAAGUGUUUGCUGCAACGAAUAUGCUACAAGAUUCUUUAUCGCACUAUCAAGCUGCAUUAAGGAUAAAUCCACAGAAUGAGGCAGCCACAGCUGAUGGACCGAAACACAUAGAAACCACCCUAUCACUUUUUUGAUUGUUUUAAAAUAGCACAUGAUGGUUUCGCUAUCGUUCUACUCACUGUUCUUGUUAAGGCUGCUACCUUCCCACUGACCAAAAAGCAGGUCGAAUCUGCAUGGCUAUGAAGUCUUUGCAGCCUCAAAUUAAGGCUAAUCAGGAACGGUAUGUUGGUGUCAGGUUAACCCAUUUUUCCUGAUGUGAUACUAAGUCUAUAGUUUGUAUCAAUCAAGUUGUUAGGUUUGAGUAAAUAGGUCUGAAGCUGCUUGUUUCAUCAUUAUGGACAGAUAAGUGUUGAGAAUGUUUAAAAAAAUUUUAAGAAACCUUAAUUAAGAAA